GUGAGAAUGUUGGCAGUAAAUCCUGAACUCUAGGGAGGUGGGUGAGCUCCAGUGCGAUGAAUGACCCAUUAAUUUAUGAGAAGCUUGGGUACACGCUGCAGGGCAGGACAGAGCUGAAGGCACCGGACCAUAAUGUGACCCACAGAGGCAAGAUAAACAGCACCUCUAGAUAUUAAGAAGAGUAAAGCAAGUUAUGGGGACCCAGAGGCUAGAGAAGAAUUAUACGAUGCCAAAGAAUUUUGGAAAAUUUUGGAAUUUUCAGGUCAGAAGAAGGAAUGAGUUUCCAUACGAUGUGCUGCUUGGACACUAGAAGUUAUCCUUGUACAGGAACUCCGAGGCGAUUUGAAGGACACAUGUCCCUGCUGAGCCCUUGCUGCUCAGAGAUAAAAUCCCCACAGGUUAUUUAUGCAUAA
This 413-nucleotide long non-coding RNA is filed under the name Felis catus (domestic cat). RNAcentral describes it as "lncRNA (ENSFCAG00000041129.2)". Lineage: Eukaryota; Metazoa; Chordata; Mammalia; Carnivora; Felidae. The record is from RNAcentral.